RNAcentral lists this ribosomal RNA (822 nucleotides) under uncultured Pelagibacterales bacterium. Its description in RNAcentral is "bacterial SSU rRNA". It matches the Rfam family "Bacterial small subunit ribosomal RNA", at positions 1 to 867 of the family's 1533-position model. The record is from RNAcentral. Lineage: Bacteria; Pseudomonadati; Pseudomonadota; Alphaproteobacteria; Candidatus Pelagibacterales.
AAUUCGCCCUUAGAGUUUGAUCAUGGCUCAGAACGUACGCUGGCGGCACGCGUAACACAUGCAAGUCGAACGCAGUAGCAAUACUGAGUGGCAAACGGGUGAGUAUAAUGUGGGAAUCUGCCUUUUGGUUUGGAAUAACACGGGGAAACUUGUGCUAAUACCGGAUAAGCCCUUACGGGGAAAGUUUUAACGCCGAAAGAUGAGCCUGCACUUGAUUAGCUAGUUGGUAAGGUAAAGGCUUACCAAGGCAACGAUCAAUAGCUGUUCUUAGAGGAAGACCAGCCACAUUGGGACUGAGACACGGCCCAGACUCCUACGGGAGGCAGCAGUGGGGAAUCUUGCACAAUGGGGGAAACCCUGAUGCAGCGAUGCCGCGUGAGUGAAGAAGGCCCUUGGGUUGUAAAACUCUUUCGUCGGGGAAGAAAAUGACUGUACCCGAAUAAGAAGGUCCGGCUAACUUCGUGCCAGCAGCCGCGGUAAUACGAAGGGACCUAGCGUAGUUCGGAAUUACUGGGCUUAAAGAGCUCGUAGGUGGUUAAAAAAGUUGAUGGUGAAACCCCAAGGCUCAACCUUGGAACUGCCAUCAAAACUUUUUAGCUAGAGUGUGAUAGAGGUAAGUGGAAUUUCUAGUGUAGAGGUGAAAUUCGUAGAUAUUAGAAAGAACACCAAAUGCGAAGGCAACUUACUGGGUCACUACUGACACUGAGGAGCGAAAGCAUGGGUAGCGAAGAGGAUUAGAUACCCUCGUAGUCCAUGCCGUAAACGAUGUGUGCUAGACGUUGGAAAUAUAUUUUUCAGUGUCGCAGCGAAAGCAUUAAGCAC